UACGGAGGGUGCAAGCGUUAUCCGGAUUUACUGGGCUUAAAGGGUGCGUAGGCGGAUUUUUAAGUCAGUGGUGAAAGCUCCGAGCUUAACUCGGAAACUGCCAUUGAUACUAUUAGUCUUGAAUUCGGUUGAGGUUGGCGGAAUGUGUCGUGUAGCGGUGAAAUGCUUAGAUAUGACACAGAACACCGAUUGCGAAGGCAGCUAGCUAAGCCGACAUUGACGCUGAGGCACGAAAGCGUGGGGAUCAAACAGG
This 253-nucleotide ribosomal RNA is filed under the name uncultured bacterium. RNAcentral describes it as "partial 16S ribosomal RNA". It matches the Rfam family "Bacterial small subunit ribosomal RNA", at positions 524 to 776 of the family's 1533-position model. The record is from RNAcentral.